GUUCUGAUCACUACUGACUUGUUGGCUCAUGGGAUUGAGGUGCAACAAGUGUCUUUGGUUGUAAACUAUGAUCUACCUACCAAUCUUGAAAACUAUAUUCACAGAAUUGGCAGAGGGGGCAGAUUUGGGAGGAAAGGUGUGGCUAUAAACUUUGUUAUUGAAGAAGAGAAUAGGAUUCUUUGUGACACAGAGACUUUCUACAAUAUACAGAGGAGGAAAUGUCCAGAGUGUGGCUGACCAUAUUUAAUUCCUGGGAUGAAAUAUAUUUGAAUGCAGUGCUCUCUGUUGCUGAAUAGGUGAUCACAGCUUCUUUGGGAAUAUUUGAAUCUUGUCUUAAUGCUCAUAAUAGAUCAGAAAUACAGAUUUUGACAGCAAAGCGACAUUAGUUGUGAGCUCUUGUGAGGAAAGUCAUUGGCUUUAUCCUCUUUAGAGUUAGACUGUUGGGGUGGGUAUAAAAGAUGGGGGUCUGUAAAAUCUUUCCUUCUUAGAAAUUUAUUUCCUAAUUCUAUAGAAAUGGUUGUAUUAGAUAUUAUCUAUAAUUUAAUAAUAUACUUGUGGAUUAAAAGAUAUAAGUGCUGUAUAAAAUCAGCCAAUUAAGUUAAACUAGCAUAUCUCCUUUUAUUAUGUUUGUCAUUAGCCUGAAUAGAAAGGCAUUUAAAAUUGUUUUAGAAAACAUUUGAAUUCAUUUUUUUUGAUAUUGUAUUUAUUUAAUAAAGUAUUUAAUUAGUGCUAAAGUGAGAACUGAAGCCCUAGCAAGCAAUCAUAAACUAGUCAGGGUGAAACCCCCAGUAAAAUUGCCAUAUUGCACAUAUCUUAAUGAAGUUUGAAUGUUAAAUUCACUUUAAAA
RNAcentral lists this long non-coding RNA (847 nucleotides) under Marmota monax (woodchuck). The record is from RNAcentral. Lineage: Eukaryota; Metazoa; Chordata; Mammalia; Rodentia; Sciuridae.